Molecule: transfer RNA, 73 nt
Filed under: Stegodyphus mimosarum
Lineage: Eukaryota; Metazoa; Arthropoda; Arachnida; Araneae; Eresidae
Rfam family: tRNA
About the family: Transfer RNA (tRNA) molecules are approximately 80 nucleotides in length. Their secondary structure includes four short double-helical elements and three loops (D, anti-codon, and T loops).
Source: Rfam by way of RNAcentral
GCCUUCGUGGUGUAAUGGUCUCCGUGCUCGACGCGUAACCGAGAGGUCCGUGGUUCGAUUCCCGGCGAAGGCG